Paramuricea clavata is the source of this 542-nucleotide non-coding RNA. The record is from the annotation of a GenBank genome assembly. Lineage: Eukaryota; Metazoa; Cnidaria; Anthozoa; Malacalcyonacea; Plexauridae.
CCGAACAUGCAGAUGUACUCUCGCGAGGAAAUGAUGGAAAUGUCCAAACAAGGAUCGCAGUCUGAAGAUGAACCCGAAUCAGAUAGUUCAGAAUAUACAACACAUCCCGGGGGAGACCUUUCAAUAUGGGAUGCAAUUGUUCAACUGUUCAAAGAUAUUUGGAACUGGAUAAGAGAUUUGUUAGGAAUAAGAGAGAAAGCUUCAGGGGAAUUGUAGGAGUGUAUCGAAGUUUAACCAGCUUGGUUGAGCUCAUUAGGGGGUUGGAAUGCCAGACGACAAAAAAUGAAUUCUCUGCAACUACAAACAUUUUGCAUGCCCACAGAGUCGCAUUUCAACUUGUUGUUUUGAACAUCAAAAUUAAAAUGUUUACAUCUACAAUGGACGAGUAUGAUUUCUUUGUUGCUGUUAAAAGUUUGCAUGCCCACAGAGUUACAUUUGAACAUCAAAUUGAUUUUGUUUAUAUGAUGGACAUCACAAUGAAUGAGUAUGUUUUUUUUUGUUGUUAUUUUUACAGCAGACAAUAAAAUUCGAGGUGUUGUGUG